AGGGUCGUUGAACAGCUGCUCUGCAAGCUCCCACCCUGUGGAGUGUACUUUGAUCUUCAAUAAAUCUUUGCUUUCAUUGCUUCAUUCUUUCAUUGCUUUGCUGUGCAUUCUGUCCAAUUCUUUGUUCAAAAUGCCAAGAACCUGGACAAUUUGCAGUCAAGACCCUCCACCGGGAUAUGAACUUCCAAUUAUAUCAUUGGACUUGACUACUCCAUUUCUUUCCACAUUUAAAAAUCAAUCAGGGAGAAGCUAUUUUGAGAACUUAACACAGUAUUUAACAUGGGAUUUCUGAAUGAAGACAGUUUAUGGAUGAAUAAGGCAAAGGAGUUACUGAAUGUCUGGACUUCAGCGAAUUAAGACACUGAGACUUUCUCGCUAUUGAAGCUACCUUGAAACAAUAAACACUAAAUACCUAGUUGGUUUGCCAAAAGCAUAAAAUGUUACUUUUCGUAUUUGAUUUUCUUUCCCAAAUCUAUAAUAUAAUCCAGAAUUUGUACACAUAUUUUUUUCCUGAUAAUUAAACGUGUAGACAAUGGGAAUAUAA
RNAcentral lists this long non-coding RNA (544 nucleotides) under Homo sapiens (human). RNAcentral's name for it is "HSALNT0301955". Lineage: Eukaryota; Metazoa; Chordata; Mammalia; Primates; Hominidae. The record is from RNAcentral.